GUAUUAUUAUUUCAAUUAAAUAAAUGAGGAAACUGAAACUCACAGAGGGUAAAAGGCUUGCCCAAGUUCUCAGAGCUCUAGAGGGGCAGAGUUAAAUUGUUUCUUGGUCUUCUGAUUCCAAGGCUAUGUUCUCUUGUAUGUUCUUGGUCUUCUGAUUCCAAGGCUAUGUAUACUAUAAUGCCUUUAUUGGUCUCAGUAUUUUCAUUCGUAAAAUAGUAGGUAACAUUUAUUGCUGUUGCUUAUUUUGAAAUUGAUUUUGUUGUUACUAUUUUUUGAGUUUGACUUGUGCCACUCUACUUUUUGUCUAUCAUUUAAUUAAAUCCGUACAGCAAAUGCAUGAAUUAUGUAUGAUCAUUUCCUUUUCACAGAGUAGACCUUCCUCCGUGGGAAUGGUUGAAGAAAUUUGCACUCCUUUUAGAUGAACAUUCUAAUCUUGCCUCUAAGACUCUUCCAAGGUGAAAAAAAAAAUUCAUUAUAUUCAGUUAAAACAUGGGCCCUUGAUAUGAACUCUGCUGCCUGCAUAGAACAUGUUGGCCGAAGCAGGGCAGGAGCAGGUGCAGGUGAGUGAAGGAAGACUGGGAACAAACACAGGACACCUCUCUCUGCAACUCCCGCAUUGUUCU
This 623-nucleotide long non-coding RNA is filed under the name Homo sapiens (human). RNAcentral's name for it is "non-protein coding lnc-JUN-4:1". Lineage: Eukaryota; Metazoa; Chordata; Mammalia; Primates; Hominidae. The record is from RNAcentral.